RNAcentral lists this long non-coding RNA (844 nucleotides) under Struthio camelus australis. Its description in RNAcentral is "lncRNA (ENSSCUG00000001190.1)". The record is from RNAcentral. Lineage: Eukaryota; Metazoa; Chordata; Aves; Struthioniformes; Struthionidae.
CUGCUAUUGGUGUUCUGUGCAUUCAUGUUUUUCUGAGAUGUACUGUGUGUCCUGAUUUAAAUGAGACUUUUCCAGCUUUCAAGGACUGGCUUAGUAAAACCGGCUUAGAAAUUUGUUUUCUCUCUCACCUGGAGCCAUUCACGCCUGUUCCUGUUAUGCAGUUCAUGACCUGGUUGAUUGUGCUGAUGCAAGUGUCUGUGGGCGUCCACUGUAAAUUGAGUCACUCCAGCAGUCUGAAUUAAGAGGAAAAUCCCCUCUAUAAGGAGAAGCCAGAAGAUUUUCAGUACAGCUGCUUCUGAUGAUGGAGACUUUCCACUAACUCUUGAAACUGAGAUCAAACGGACUCAUGAAAUAUCUUGAGGCAAGCAGCAAAAUCCUGACCCCGCGGAAAGUGCAAUGUGGCAGGGGCUAUAGCUCUGGGUUUCUCAGCAAGGCAAAGCUGCAACCGAGAACAAGCCAGGGUUGGCUCCAGUGGCAGCCUGGAGGGGCUGGAGGCGCUGCCCGCAACGUGGUGUCUCCCACGUCUCGUGUUUGGCCUGAUGUCCUCAACUUUCCCCAUGCGCCCCCAGCAAACCCAGUCCAGGGAUGGCCUGUCCCAUGCGAGGAGUAAAAGAUAUGCCACGUGUCUUGGAAAGCUGCAGUCCUCUUUUCACAUCUGUAUCAACAGUUUCCGGUCGACGUUCAUCACGCUGUUCUGAAAUACAAAGUCUAUGUCAGUCUUUUGUUAUUAGGUGCAAAGCGCUAUUUAAGUAAAGAUUACUAGAUGAAGUCACAGCCUAUACGAUAGGUAAAAACUAUGUAUAAGUGAAAUAAAUGUAAUAAAUUUACUGAUGAUGGGAGAAGU